RNAcentral lists this long non-coding RNA (691 nucleotides) under Gallus gallus (chicken). The record is from RNAcentral. Lineage: Eukaryota; Metazoa; Chordata; Aves; Galliformes; Phasianidae.
CUUCAUGGCUUCUGUGAAGCAGUGGCUGCGCACGCAGUUGAGCAGCAGGAUAACAGCGCCCAGGCAGUAGCAGGCGGUGUGUGGAGAGCCGAAGCCUCGGCUGAGUGCCCGCGUUUUGUGCUCCCAUCUUGCUACCACGUUCCAGAAGAAUGGGUUGAAGGCGAUAGAGAGGACGGCUGCAAUGAAGCCAGAAUCAGUCACAUCCACAUAGCUGAAGACCCGCGCCAUGGCUGUCACAUCCACCUCGCUGUAAUCCAGGCCGCCCAGCCCGCUGCAGCAAUCCCGCGGCCACCACCAAAACCCCGCUCCCCGCCGGCCUCCUGCCUGCCCCCGCUCGCCUCCCGGCCUGGGCCUCCCCGCCAUGGCACGGGGCCGGGGCCGGGGCACCCCGCGGCCUUCCCCCGGCCGGCUGCCAGCGAGCGCAGCGGCGGUGAUGGGAAGUGUAGUCCUCCCUUCGCUGCGGGGACUACAUGGCCCAGAGGACGCCGCGGCCGGAGCUGGGAGAGGCCGGGCCUGCAGCGCGGCGGCCGGGCCUGAGAGCGGCCUGCUGCGGGGCCUUGUCCCACCUGGCUCCUCGCGGGCAAGUGCUGACCUCGCUGCCGGCCCCGUCGCCUCCGUUGAGGGCUCUGAGUGUGUUCCUGGCCGCAGCACCGGGCAGGGUGGCCUGUGCUGACGGUGGCUGGACUUUGCC